This is a long non-coding RNA of Chinchilla lanigera (long-tailed chinchilla), 1866 nucleotides long. RefSeq lists it as uncharacterized. The transcript has 6 exons. The record is from RefSeq and is a predicted model, not a curated record. Lineage: Eukaryota; Metazoa; Chordata; Mammalia; Rodentia; Chinchillidae.
GCCUUUUAAGAGAGGGGGUGGUGUGCGUCCCGACACGUGGUCCAAAGGGUCGGGACGGGAACCUGCUGUCGCCUCCUGCAAGUCGCCGACCCUGCCCCGCAGGGCGAUCGAGGGUUCCUCCAGGAAGUGAGAAAUACCCAGCCUGCAGCAGAUGGAUGAGUCCUCCCGCAAGUGCCCCGAGUUCCGAUGGCCCGGGUCAGUUUCCUGGAAGAUUUAUAUGUGUGCUCCAUGAAAAUCUGGUUUCAUUUCUGCUGGUUCUGUGUCACUGUUUUGGCUUAGGGCCUUCCAGGGGCCUCAGCAGGAGCAGGACCACUUCCACACCCCGUUUCACACACAUCUGAGGGAACGCUGUUGUGACCAUGAUUGCGGACACUUGGCAUCAGCACUCUUGGUCACUUAGGUGUGUCCGCUCAGCCUCUUGGCUGUAUGGCAUCUCCCAGCUGCAUCUCAUCUAGCCUGACUCUGCCCCAGGCAAGGACACUUAGCUAAUGAAAACAUGGAAGGAGAGGAGAUUGGGAAAGACAAACGAGCAGGAAAGAAAGACAUCCGUAGUCCAGAUCAGAAAACGCAGAGGGUGUGGGAGUAACCCCGCCGUUUUACCCAGGAGUCGGGUGAUACCCGGUGGUCAAAGGUGCCGACCUUGGCUUCCCGGCUGACAACAACCCAGGCUUAUUUAACAAUGCAUUUCACGGCUCAGCUGAUUUUCAAGCUCUCCUUGGAAUGUAUCAACAGUGCUGGCAACAUCUAACGUGCCUUUGGUAAGGGACUUUGUCUCCUGGUUGUAUGUCAUAAUCACGAACAUAACAAUUGGGGGUUGACGUUUAUGUUUGAGGCCACCUCUACCAAACAUGUAUACCACCAGAUGCGUGUGCAAACACUGACUCAAUUUUCCCCACUCAACAGUUCUUUUCCACCUGCUGGGUAAGUGUGUAAUGGAAACUAAAUACAUUUUUUUUUUUUUUUGGUGGGGGGCACUACUGAGUCUUUAAGCUACACUAAGCUAUGUUCCCAGCCCUCUUUAUAUUUUUUAUUUUGAGACAAAUUCUCACUGAGUCAUUAAGUGUCCAGACUGGGUUGGAACUUUUGAUCCUUCUGCCUCAGCCUCCCAGAGUGUAGGGAUUACAGAUGUAUGCCACAUGCCCAGCUCAAUAAAAUCUUUUGGUGAUAAAGAGCUGGCACCAUCUGAGCUCUUCCACUGGCUUUGCCUAAUGUUGUGCCUUUCUGUGUUAAGCCAGGCAGUCAUAAACCCCUUCCAGCAGGUGGGAAGCCCUGAUUACAGGAGCCAGGACUAUUAACAAUGUAGUCUCCUCUGGACUAUAGGGGCCAGAGGCCACUUUCUGUUCCUCCUCAAGGGUCAGUGACAUGAAACAGAGGGUAAGAUGUCAUUUCAUAUUCCAAAAUGACUACUCAUCUCAAUCCUGCUAAAACUGUGGUCAUCCAAAGUAAACAUUCUUUUUUGUGGGGAGGUAGACAGGCUGGUCUUGAGCUCCCUUUGUAGCCCAAAACAUUCUUUUUGGUGGAGAGGUAGACAGGGUCUCAUGAUGCAGUUCAGGCUGGUCUCAAACUUGCUAGGACCCUCCUGCCUCAGCCUCCUGAGUGCUGGGAUUAUAAGUGUGCCCCACCAUGACAGACUCUCCAAGAAAAAAUUCUGAUGGCUUGGUAGUUGUUAUGGUUUGUGUCUGGAUGUCCCCCUAAAGUCCAUGCAGUCAUGGGGUGGGUUUCUAGAUUUUUAAUUGAUCCAUAGUCCAAAACUGGGAUCAUGGGAGUGAGUGUUAUACCUGCCCCUGGGACAGUAGUUUGCAUACAAUGUAAGGGAGGGGAAAAGGCUGCUUGCUGCUGCCAUUUCCCCCUUUUGCUCUUGUUGCU